GCAAUAUUGACUAAAGAGUCAAUGAGAUGCUGGGGAAAUUAACGUUGCACACUUGAUACACUUAGAAAUGCCAUUAGCUGGAAACUCAGCUAAUUCUACAGAAUGGGGGUAUGGAGACAGUGUGAGUUAGGAGCAAAGACAGUGUUCAACAAGGUGGGUGAGUAGCUUCAGCUGCCACUGGAUUUUGCAUGAUGCACGGAGAGUGAGGCAGUCUGGCCUCAGGCCCCAGUUUUGCAAUGAGUGGAACAAACUGCACAACUGGAGCACUAAUUUUUUUAAAAAGAAAUCAUUGAUUGCUCUCAGGCCUACUUGGCAAUGCUGUUCUUUUCUCCAGUCUCCUAAUAUAUUUCACAGCAGAUGCGUACCUGAACAAUGACCCCUUUAUAAAAACUGCUUACGAAUAAAGAAUCUGCCCCCACCUAUACUAUUCUUUUUUUUUUCUUUCUUCCUUUUUCUUUUUUUUCUUAUUUUUCUUUUUUUUUUCUCUCUUUUUCUUUUUUUUUUUUUUUUUAAUUUCUCAGAAAAAGCUAUUUCAUAGCUAUCUACUGUUUUUUGGGGGAGUUUAUAACUGAUCUCAGGAGACACGUGGGAUCUGAUUUGUCAACAGAUCAGGAAAAAGCUAUAACUAAACAAUACAAUAGUAACCCAGAAGAAACACUUUCAAGAUAAAGAAAAAUCCUUUCACCCAUUUUAAAUAUGGCUCAGUAACAGACACAAAAUUAAAGAUACAGAGCUUAUGAUGGAUACAUCAGAUCUAAUUGCUGGUGUAUGAAGGAUGCUGCCCUUAUGCAGUGACUGCAUGCACACAGGAUGAUUUUUCUGUAGUACUUCUGUGUAGGGAGUUUGGGCCAAGGUGGAUCACUCUCAGUUUAUUUGUAGGUCAGCUGUCAAUAUUUUAUUUUUGGAGCACCUCCUCUCACCCUGUGCUUUUCCAGCCUUCUCUCUUUCCCUUGUACCACAAUUACUCAUGUGUCAGGGCAGUCAACAGGCUGAGCUGCUGGUUCUUUUUCUGAGCCUCUCUGUUUUCUCUCAUUUUCUGACAUUCUUAGCAUGAAUAGGUGUGCUAAGUUAAUUACGCUAAUCUAUCUAGCAAAACACCCAACGUAUAUAUUUGAAACUAAUUAGAUAAACUUCAAAAUGGGUCAUUUCUCAGCCCCUCAGCCUCCUCCUGCUUAUAAGCAUUACCCCUGAAGGGAUUUUUCUCAAUCAGGUAGACAUUUCUGGGAAUGAGAUCUAAUGAAUCCCUUUACCUCCUGAACUGAAAACCUCUUUUCAUUGGGACUCAAGCAACUGAGGACAAAUUCAGGCAUGGCAGAAGCAGGAGCUCUCCCAAGGCAACAGUACUGCUCCUUUCUGCCUAAACUAGGUUUGACAGAGCCUACUGACAGAAGGCCAAAACCUGUCUGAGCAAAAGUGUUGCAGGAUCCUUUCUUGUCUGCUAAAGAAAGCUUCUCAUACUGGCCUGCCAACGAGGAGGCUGGAGGUCCACAAGAAGAUGGGAGGAGACACAGCCAGGAUAGUUGACCCCAGCUGAUUAAAAGGAAAUUCCAUGUCAUAUGGGAACUGCUGCUCAGGCAUUGGCUGGGUGUCACUCAGCAAGAGGCUUUCCCACAUCUCCAAAGCAGAAGAGAGGAGAUGCUGCCCCUGAACUGCACCAUGCUGAGCUUGGAAACGCAGCCCUGCAACAUGGAGCUGUAGAGCUUCUGGCUGGGCAGCAGAGGAGCCAAUAUUGCUGCUGCUGGAAAUGCAUGGGAACAGAUUUGCCAUGAAGCUGUGUGUGUAAGGCAAAAAAAUCACUGAACCAGUAAAACUGACACAGGCCUUUUGUUUUCUCUCACUCCAGAAGAAAAGCAUAACACGUGCCGGCUGUGUGCAACCCACUGAGGCUCAAUUGUUCCCUGAGACAAGAACACAGAUGAGCUUCCCGUACUGCUUCCCCCAUCUCUUUUCUUGCUCUGCUGCUGUAAUUUUAGAGGUGGAAGCAGAUGAAAAAGGUUUUUCCAUUGUAACACAAGGUCUUUUUUUCUAUUGCCUGCCACAAGUGUAAUGUCUUGUUAUUUUCUGUUCCUUUAGCUUCCAGAAUGAGCUCUGAAGGAGCUCCCUAAUGAUAACAAACCAUCACUGCUGUAAUAUUGAUACCUGUUGUAAUCACUGGCAUUCUGGCUUUUCAAUUUUCACUAUUUGCUUUGGAUCAAGUAGCUCUGUGCUAAUGCAACAGAAGGUCACCAGAUGAAGGGGCUGAUAACAGAGAGGGACUGUUCUACUUAACAUGCAUGGAGGAUUAUGCUUUUCAGUCGUCCUCGAGCUAAUCUUUCAAGUUGUCCUUUUUUGACUUUCUCAGUUUAAUCAGUUUAAUCUCAUCUUCCCUCUUUUCUGAUUACAAGGAUUUUCUGUAGAAACCUUGCCUCCACAAUAAGGACCACGUGGCAAUUUAUUCUUAUAUUGAUUUCAACAUCUUUUUUCCACUACCAGGGCUCUGAUGCAAGGGGGGAGGGUGGAAGCCAGAGGGGAAAGAGGGUCCCUUUAGUGCCUCCUGCCUAGCAAAUCCUCACUUUUUUAUUAUCUUGGAAUCUGAAUACUUCUUUAAUACACUUGAAAUCAGAAAUGGCAGCUGAAUUGGAAAUACGUAACCAUGAUUAAAAGUUAGGGGAGACAGUAAGAGCGAUAAAGCAUAAUCACAAGAUGAGCUAAAUCGAGGGCACAAGUAAUCAAACUGUUCAGGCCACAUUUUCCAAGGGGCUCUUUCAUGGUUGCCAUCACAACUGUUUACCCAGCAGAACAUAGCAUUUCUUGUCCCACAGGUGGGGAAACCAGAUGCAAGAUCCAGGGAGUUAGACAAAAUGGGCAGUCUGCACAUGCAUUUGUGCACGCAGAUUUGACUGCAGAGGAAGACUUCUUCUGUGUCUUUAUAUAUCUCUCCAGGACAGGAGGAUUGGCAUUUUACCUAAUUAUGUCUGCAAAAUGUAUAGUAAGAAAAGAGAAAAGAAAGCAAAGGGCAACAUGUUUUUCCAAUGUACACACUAACUAACCUUUGAGUCAGAAUGCUCAGGCAGCUUUAGUGAAUAGCCAAGCAGGGAAUAGGCAGCUCCACACCGAGAAUAAGCUGAUUCUGUCCAAAAAUCAAGUAAGAGAUGAUUGCCACCUUGCCGUUGUACCAAAUAAGUAAGGGAGGAAGUGUCCCAAGCUCCCACCCCUUCGGUUGCUUCUGCUCUAGACACCACCUCUUCAUCAUAUCUUCAUAGUCUCUCAUUGCACAGACAUCUGAAAUGUCUAUCUGUAGACUCACUCUUCCCCAGACACACACACUUCUUGACCUGUGAGUAACACAACAGCAGCAAGGGGGGAUCUGAUGCAAUGGGCUGGCAUAUCUGUUUAGCCCUGUAAGCCUGCUCUGUAUUUCCUACAAGUAAUGAAGGAUUUUGCUUUCUCUUCAGGAUUCCUGGAGAUAAUGAUAUACCAUAGCCAGCGGAGGUGAACAUCUGUUUUAAGAACUGUGAACUUAGAGAGAUCAUUUGUCUAUUUGAUCUUCCUUUCCUGUUUUUCAGUGUGCCCUAUCCAUUUCUCUGUUAAUUAAAUAUAUGUGAAAUCACUAAACCACUGGGUCGAAGAAACAAUUAAACAACAACUGAAAUAAAAAAGUGGGAGGGAGGAGACUCUUCUCUUUUUUUCCUCUCAUUUUGUUCUGCUAAAUAGAAAUUGCCCUACUUUUUGAGUGCGCACUUUGUUUUUCUUUCAUAGAAGACUUGGAUUCAUGAGGGCAUAUCCACCUAAUGACAACAUGGUGGAGUUAACCCAAGAGAACAAUGCAUCCCAUUAAUCUGCUUAUCCUUAAUUGGUAAGACAGUAUGGGGCUGGCAUUUCAAAGGCAGACUGUAAAUGUACUUGGAUUGGUUGCUAUUUAAUUGAUGCAACUGGCACACAUAUAGACGUACCCUAAAGAAGACAGUGAGAGUAAGCAACCAGAAGUUAUUAUGAGCCAUUUUUUCCUUUUUAAUAUUACUUUUAGUGGCUAUAGUAAAAAAAAAAUAAGCAUGAAGCUACUGGCACAAGCCUCUGUACAUGCUGAGGAGAAAAGAUCAUCUCUCCACUGCUUUGCCCAGCACCUUGCAGAAGCCUGGACCUGGGCAGCCUGGGAGCUGUGGGACGUGGCAGAGCCAGCAAUCACUGCUGCAGUCCCCUCAGCUUACCUUGUGCCUCUUUUUCACACAAGUGUGUGAGCAAUCGUCUGCUCCUCUGGGAGCUCAGCAGGGAAAGGGGGAAACAUGUGACCCAACCAUGCUCCAACUGCACCUCUGCUUCUGCUCUCUGCUAGAUAGGAGGAAGAAUAUGAGGAGAAACUUCUUUACUUUGAGGGUGACAGAGCACUGGAACAGGUUGCCCAGAGGGGUUGUGGAGUCUUCUUCUCUGGAGAUAUUAAAAAACUGCCUGGUUGCAUCCCUGUGCAACCUGCUCCAGGUGAACCUGCUUUAGCAAAGGUGUUGGACUAGAUGUCCUCCAGAGGUUCCUUCCAAUCCCAACCAUUCUGUGAUUCUGUGAAGAGCAGCAGGCACCACAGGGUAGCCAUGAGACACAAGGGUUUUCCAGGAACAGCAGCAGGGAGUGAGGGUGGAAAGCAUGAAGACCGACGAGAGAGGAAGGGCUACUGCACUGCAGAGAUGGACAGAAGUAGAAUCAUGACACUGGUCACUAUGGACAGGAGCACAGAUCAGUGGAUGGCAAGCAAAACAUUUUUGUUUCACUAGCUGUAUUCGCCUCUAAACAACACUGGAGGAUGGGAGAUGGUUUUGCAAGGAGUUGAAAAUCACUCUUUUGUAAAGCAGAGCUCAACUUUCCCUGCAUGCACGAGAAAAGGAAAGACUGCUAGAAUACAACUUCUUUGGCAACCUAACAGAGACUCAUAUGACUAGAAUAUUGCCUGUAUGAAAUUAUGUCCCACAAAACUAUAAGCUAUCAUAAAAGCAAAGUGAAAAAAAGCUCUUGUGUGCUACCUACCUUACUGCCAUCACCACUCCAUAUCAUCUGCCUAUAAAAAUAAUAACUUUACCCUUCCAGAAACCUCUUGACUAAGUUGUUCCAUGUAAAUAUGAUCAGUUCUUGUGCCAUCUGACCAAAUUAUUUUUCCCACUCCAACAUUAUCAAUUGAGUGGAUGCUACAGUCACAAUCUGUGAAAUGAAUAGUACUUGUUACAGUUCUUGUAAAUAAUCAAAUAAUCUUAUUGAAUGAAUAUAGCAGAAAUUUGUCUGGUUGAGAAAUACAGCUCAUGAGACUAAAUUAUUACAAAAUAGUGUUCCCUUGAAAAAAGGGUUCAGUAGUGUGAAAACUAUAGAAAUAAGCAACAGGAAAAUGACAGCUGUCCCUACAUUUCCUUGUAUCUGCAUUUUCCUGCUGUAUGUGGCAACGGUGUAGUAAUCUUCACCUUUCUACAUCCACAGCACAGCUUGUCUGUCUCUUAUCUGGAAAAGACCAGCUCUCCAGAUGUAUUUGUUGCUCUAUCAAUUCAAAAGCAGUGUUUUGUACCUGGAGCCUGGAAGGAAAGGCAGAGGUGACAGGAACACAGGGAUGCACCUUGUGUGUAACAGGGACAUAGUAGAUGUAUAAAUGACAGUUUGAAGGGAAAUGGAAGGGGAGAACAAGGUCAGGCAGUCAUAGCACAAAUGACGCCUUUCUGUUGUUUCCAAAUGGUUAUUAUACUAUUUCAUCCUGAACUGCCUGACAGAUACCUUCUGUAUCUGAACACUAAGAGUUAGACUGCACAUUUUUUCUGGUCAGGUCUUUCUUUUUUCAAGUAAAGUCUCCCCAUCUAUUAUACUGAGAUGAAAGGGUCAGCAGAAGGUAUCCAUAAGGCUGUAGCAGCUGGAACCCAGACAAUCCUAACAGGAGAAGGUAGUGUCCACAGCACCAGGAGAAGCAAGGGCAGAGGGCUGCAUGCAGAAAGCAGCACAGUGGUUUUGAAAGGAAAACGAUCAGAGAACUUUUAAAUUGCUGAGCACAAACUGGUUCUUUCCAGAAAACUGGAUUGCAAAUAAUCCUGUCUGUAAAACUACUAGGAAAAAACAAAAAAACAAAAACCAACACCAACCAAACAGCUGACCUUAGUUCAUCUCUCCCUUUUGAGGAGAAAAAGAGCCUGGAACAGUUCUAAGACAUGCAUUUCUAUUCACGAAAGGUCCUGAUGUAACACCUGUGCCAGUGUCCAUUCUGGAUUGUGAAAUCAGCUUUGUGGGUCCAU
Long non-coding RNA from Columba livia (rock pigeon), 6230 nucleotides. RefSeq lists it as uncharacterized. The record is from RefSeq and is a predicted model, not a curated record. The transcript has 3 exons. NCBI's taxonomy places the organism in Eukaryota, Metazoa, Chordata, Aves, Columbiformes, Columbidae.